Molecule: ribosomal RNA, 253 nt
Filed under: uncultured bacterium
Lineage: Bacteria
Description: partial 16S ribosomal RNA
Rfam family: Bacterial small subunit ribosomal RNA
Source: RNAcentral
UACAGAGGUCUCAAGCGUUGUUCGGAUUCACUGGGCGUAAAGGGUGCGUAGGUGGCAUGGCCAGUUUGAUGUGAAAGCUCAGGGCUUAACCCUGAAAUGGCAUUGAAUACUGCUGUGCUGGAGGUUUGGAGGGGGGACUGGAAUUCUUGGUGUAGCAGUGAAAUGCGUAGAUAUCAAGAGGAACACCAGUGGCGAAGGCGAGUCCCUGGACAACACCUGACACUGAGGCACGAAAGCUAGGGGAGCAAACAGG